GGAAAAAUCCAAAGUGAUGGUAUUUCGAAAGAGUGGAAGAUUACAUGAUGAUGAGAAAUGGACAUACGAUGGAAUUACAUUAGAAACAGUCGAUAACUUUAACUAUCUAGGUGUCGUAUUUGGUUCAAAUGGUGGAUUUAAUCUUAAUUCCCAAAUGUUAGUGGGUAAAGCGCUUAAAGCAAUGAAUACAUUAUUAGUUAAUACGAAAGAGUUCGAGUUUUUCCCAAAAAACUAUGUGUAGUUUAUUCGAUUCGUUUGUAACCUCGAUUUUAAAUUAUUCAGCUGAGGUGUGGGGUUUUACCAAAUGUAAAGAGAUGGAGCGUAUACACUUAAAGUUCUGCAAACGAGUAUUAAAUGUUAAGAUAUCCACAAGUAAUGCUGGUGUAUAUGGUGAAUUAGGACGAUUCCCGCUGUAUAUCAAUCGCUACAUUAAAGUGCUUAAAUUUUGGUUUAAAGUGUUAAAAACUAGUAAUUGUGUUUUAAAAACGGUGUAUUCAAUUAUGCUGGAAAACGUACAAAAGAAUAAAACUAAUUGGUUGUCAAAUGUAAAAUCAAUGUUAUAUACGUUUGGUUAUGGGUAUGUUUGGGAAAACCCUUUAAAUUGUAAUGAAGCCACAUUUAUUAUACAAUAGGGCCCGUAAGUCUCGUUUACUUUCACUUUCGAUUUACCACUUCCGGGUACAUCGGCAGACUUAUUUACCGUUACGCAUAUAGGUAACCCGAAGAACUCGAGGGAUAUAGAAGUUAAAUUUGUUUCGGUCCUCUUCAGAUUUGAAGGAAUGGAUAGCACGGGUAAAAAAAUGCAGAUGUAUAGACAAGGAGGUAUAUGACAAGUAUAUAGAAUAUACAGUUGUUCAAUAUGGACCAUUAAUCAACUGUUUGCACUGCCUAUGAUCCUGAAAUAUCUAUACAUCAAAGAUAAAAAGGGAAAAUAUGAAGGAGGAUUUGUCCAUGAAGACCUUUAUUGCAACUACCAUCUUCCAGUUCCUUAAUUUGAGAAUGAUAUCAGAGAACACACAGUUACAGUGAAAUAUUAGUUUAAUAUAAGCCACUGAGAAUAGUCAAAUGUACUUUCCUGAAGAAGAUGAAUGACAUCCAGCACAAAAAAUCUUAAUGUAUAAAGAGUAUGAUUUUAUGGUGUUUGACACUAUGAUCUUUUUAACAUGUUAAUGUCACAAUGAUAGAAACAGAGUAAAAUAUCCACAUUUCAUUGCAGUUUUAAGUAUUAAAACUAGAUACUCUAUAUAUACCAAAGAUGAUAACACACCAGAGAUAAGGUUUUUUCAUGGAAUCACAGUAUAGUCAUAUGACAUUAUGGACAUUAAAUGACUAUGAAGUAAAGAUUAGCAAAAAUAUAUAUCAUCUACUACUAAUAUUGUGAGGUAAUCAUUGAUUAGCUCACAAAUUUGCAAUCAAAGCUUUGAUAUCAAGCUGAACAUUUUUCAAUUAGAAUAUGAUUUAUAACUCUUUGAUAAUUUGUUCAUGUUAAUUUUCAAAGUCUUUACAUUUGUAAAAGGAAAUAUUCUUAUUCUUGUAUCAGUAGACAUUCACAGUGUAAAGUUACAUUGUCCAAAUAACUAAUUAUAAUUCCAAGUGCUUUCCUAAAGUUUUUCUGCCACUGGAAAAUCAGUGUGAUAUAUAUGCUAAGCAGUGCACUAUAAAUUGUGUAAAAUUAAAAGUUUAUUAAACUUA
Ruditapes philippinarum (Manila clam) is the source of this 1692-nucleotide long non-coding RNA. RefSeq lists it as uncharacterized. The transcript has 3 exons. NCBI's taxonomy places the organism in Eukaryota, Metazoa, Mollusca, Bivalvia, Venerida, Veneridae. The record is from RefSeq and is a predicted model, not a curated record.